UGGACUAUGGUGUAAUGGUAGCACCACAGAUUUUGGUUCUGUUAGUCCCAGUUCGAAUCUGGGUAGUCCAA
RNAcentral lists this transfer RNA (71 nucleotides) under Caudoviricetes sp. RNAcentral's name for it is "tRNA-Gln". It matches the Rfam family "tRNA". From Rfam's summary of the family: Transfer RNA (tRNA) molecules are approximately 80 nucleotides in length. Their secondary structure includes four short double-helical elements and three loops (D, anti-codon, and T loops). Further hydrogen bonds mediate the characteristic L-shaped molecular structure. tRNAs have two regions of fundamental functional importance: the anti-codon, which is responsible for specific mRNA codon recognition, and the 3' end, to which the tRNAs corresponding amino acid is attached (by aminoacyl-tRNA synthetases). tRNAs cope with the degeneracy of the genetic code in two manners: having more than one tRNA (with a specific anti-codon) for a particular amino acid; and 'wobble' base-pairing, i.e. permitting non-standard base-pairing at the 3rd anti-codon position. Lineage: Duplodnaviria; Heunggongvirae; Uroviricota; Caudoviricetes. The record is from RNAcentral.